This 476-nucleotide ribosomal RNA is filed under the name uncultured organism. RNAcentral describes it as "partial 16S ribosomal RNA". It matches the Rfam family "Bacterial small subunit ribosomal RNA", at positions 333 to 800 of the family's 1533-position model. The record is from RNAcentral.
ACACUCCUGCGGGAGGCAGCAGUGGGGAAUUUUGGACAAUGGGCGAAAGCCUGAUCCAGCAAUGCCGCGUGAGUGAAGAAGGCCUUCGGGUUGUAAAGCUCUUUUGUCAGGGAAGAAACGGUGAAAGCUAAUAUCUUUUGCUAAUGACGGUACCUGAAGAAUAAGCACCGGCUAACUACGUGCCAGCAGCCGCGGUAAUACGUAGGGUGCAAGCGUUAAUCGGAAUUACUGGGCGUAAAGCGUGCGCAGGCGGUUUUGUAAGUCUGAUGUUAAAUCCCCGGGCUCAACCUGGGAAUUGCAUUGGAGACUGCAAGGCUAGAAUCUGGCAGAGGGGGGUAGAAUUCCACGUGUAGCAGUGAAAUGCGUAGAUAUGUGGAGGAACACCGAUGGCGAAGGCAGCCCCCUGGGUCAAGAUUGACGCUCAUGCACGAAAGCGUGGGGAGCAAACAGGAUUAGAAACCCGAGUAGUCCCAUGA